Molecule: long non-coding RNA, 848 nt
Organism: Gadus macrocephalus (Pacific cod)
Lineage: Eukaryota; Metazoa; Chordata; Actinopteri; Gadiformes; Gadidae
Exons: 6
Source: RefSeq, a predicted model, not a curated record
GGACUAUGGUCUUACCGUGAUUGAGCAAUAUGUCUAGGGAAAAAACAGCAGCGGGAGGGAGCAGAGGGAGAGCUCUAAACAUGACGGUUCAACUUUUAGACUUCCUAGUGGAAGUCCUUACCAUGACGAUGUGCUUUUAUGACCUAUUAAAGAACAGGCUGUUCUAGAGGCGCAAAACGUGACUGGGCAAAAAAACAUGGACCGCCUUCAAUGUUCAACAUCAGUAAUCAGUUUCACGUGUUCAUAUGCACAUUCAUAUUAGGUUAAUUACGUGUGGUCGAGAUUAGAUUCUGACGUGGAACGUCUCUUUAGACGGGUUCAUCGAGGUCUCUCGCCCGUUCUUUUGCAUUGAUCAGCACAUUCAACCACUCGUCCUCUGAACCGAACCUUCCCUAUCUUAUCCGCCAAGUUCAAUUUGGACGUUCGCAAGGAACCUGCACUCAACCAUGGUCCAAUAAGAUUCAAGCGAGGGAAGACCGAGACACCAUGCAAACUUUUGCCUAUGAAGCCACCACUUCCUGGUUCCGGUGAUCAAUGGGCCUCUGUAAGUCAGUCCCACCAGGGUCCAGCACUUUGAAGACUUCAGAACACGGCUCACCUCUAAUCAAACCCAAAGAGAGAAGAAACUAUCCUACUGAGGCUUUCUGUUGGAUAUGGACGACGUAGAAGACUCCAGUGACCAAGAGCUGAGCACCACGGUGACGCACAAGUUAACGGCAGAGAGGACUCGUACUGGCCAAGCCCCCCCUCAGCAUGCAGUGUCCAGGCCUCGAGGGACGGAUGGAGGGAUGGAGGAGAGGAGAAGUAUGGCACUGAAGAGAACCUAUUGGAUACCAGUUCUCCAGCAG